UCGGUGAAUGCCAACGGAUUUCAUAGCUACUAGCUAUAUUCACAGAAAUCCUUUGAUAUUCACCGGUA
Molecule: non-coding RNA, 68 nt
Filed under: Spodoptera frugiperda (fall armyworm)
Lineage: Eukaryota; Metazoa; Arthropoda; Insecta; Lepidoptera; Noctuidae
Source: RNAcentral